Molecule: ribosomal RNA, 255 nt
Filed under: uncultured bacterium
Lineage: Bacteria
Description: partial 16S ribosomal RNA
Rfam family: Bacterial small subunit ribosomal RNA
Source: RNAcentral
UACGUAGGGCGCAAGCGUUGUCCGGAAUUAUUGGGCGUAAAGAGCUCGUAGGCGGUCUGUCGCGUCCGUUGUGAAAACUCGAGGCUCAACCUCGGGCUUGCAGUGGAUACGGGCAGACUAGAGUGCGGUAGGGGAGACUGGAAUUCCUGGUGUAGCGGUGGAAUGCGCAGAUAUCAGGAGGAACACCGAUGGCGAAGGCAGGUCUCCGUGGGCCGCAACUGACGCUGAGGAGCGAAAGCAUGGGGAGCGAACAGG